UCGCCUGAAUGGGAUUAUCCCGAGCUAGGGCUUUUAUGGUUGGCAGAGCAUUGCACUCUAUGCAAUGUCAGGUGCGUUCUUAACGAUCCUUGAAAAUCCGGGUAAGAGAUUUAUUCGCACGCCAGGUCGUACCAAUAACCGCAUCAGGUCUCCAAGGUUAGCAGCCUCUGGUCAAUAGGAUAAUGCAGAUAAGGGAAUUCGGCAAAUUAGAUCCGUAACUUCGGGAAAAGGAUUGGCUCUGAGGAUUGGAUUCAAGGGCCCAUUCAUGAACGCUUAGUCGUUAGUUGGUGCGAGGCAACGAGUGCUUUCUGACUUCGACGCUGGAUUGUGUGGGACGCUUCAUCGGCUUUCCUUGAAUAAUUAACAAUUAACUCAGAACUGAAGCGGACAAGGGGAAUCCGACUGUUUAAUAAAAACAUAGCAUUGUGAUGGCCUGAAAAGGUGUUGACACAAUGUGAAUUCUGCCCAGUGCUUUGAAUGUCAAAGUGAAGUAAUUCAACCAAGCGCA
RNAcentral lists this ribosomal RNA (508 nucleotides) under uncultured eukaryote. Its description in RNAcentral is "eukaryotic LSU rRNA". It matches the Rfam family "Eukaryotic large subunit ribosomal RNA", at positions 1715 to 2244 of the family's 3401-position model. The record is from RNAcentral.